RNA transcript from Aethalodelphis obliquidens (Pacific white-sided dolphin), 1437 nucleotides. It is a transcript of the gene named histone-lysine N-methyltransferase SETD2 pseudogene, with no coding region annotated. The record is from RefSeq and is a predicted model, not a curated record. NCBI's taxonomy places the organism in Eukaryota, Metazoa, Chordata, Mammalia, Artiodactyla, Delphinidae. The transcript has a single exon.
ACCAAGCUCCUGGACAGUUGGAAAGACCUAAAGGAGGUAUAUCGAAUUCCAAAGAAAAGGCAAACUGAAAAGGAGAGCACAGUAACCGAACGAGGAAGGGAUGCUUUGGGCUUCAGAGAUCAAACAGUUGCCCCAAAGACUCCUAACAGGUCAAGAGAGAGAGACCCAGACAAACAAACUCAAAAUAAAGAGAAAAGGAAACGAAGGGGCUCCCUCUCACCACCACCUUCUGCCUAUGAGCGGGGAACAAAAAGGCCAGGUAGCAGAUAUGAUACACCAACUUCUAAAAAGAAAGUACGAAUUCAAGAUCGCAAUCAACUUUCUACAGAGGAGCGUUGAAAGUUGUUUGAGCAGGAGGUAGCUCAGCGGGAGGUUCAAAAACAACAGCAGCAGCUGCAGAACCUGGGAAUGGCGUCUCCACUGCCCUGUGACUCUCUUGGCUACCAUGCCCCUCAUCACCCCUUUGCUGGCUACCCACCAGGUUACCCCAUGCAGGCCUAUGUGGAUCCCAGCAAUCUUAAUGCUGGAAAGGUGCUCCUCCCCACACCCAGCAUGGAUCCUGUGUGUUCUCCUUCUCCUUAUGAUUAUCCUCAGCCCUUGGUGGGACAUUCUACAGAACCCCUUGCUGCCCCUCCACCUGUGCCCAUGGUGCCACAUGUGGAAGUUUCCAGUUCACAGUAUGUGGCCCAAAGUGAUGGUGUGGUACACCAAGACUCCAGGGUCACCGUCCUGCCACUGCCAGCCCCAGGCCCAGUCCAGGGACAGAAUUAUGGUGUUUGGGAUUCAAACCAACAGUCCGUGAGUGUACAGCAGCAGUACUCUCCUGCACAGUCUCAAGCAACCUUAUAUUAUCAAGGACAGGCUGCUCCAACUGUCUGUGGUGUGACGUCACCCUAUUCACAGACAACUCCACCAAUUGUACAGGGUUAUGCCCAGCCAAGUCUUCAGUACAUCCAGGGACAGCAGAUUCUCACAGCUCACCCACGAGGAGUGGUGGUACAGCCAGCCACAGCCGUGACUACAAUAGUUGCACCAGGGCAGCCUCAGCCCUUCCAGCCACCUGAAAUGGUUGUGACAAAUAACCUCUUGGACUUACCACCCCCAUCUCCUCCCAAACCAAAAACCAUUGUCUUACCUCCCAACUGGAAGACAGCCCGAGACCCAGAAGGGAAGAUUUACUACUACCAUGUGAUCACAAGGCAGACUCAGUGGGAUCCUCCUACUUGGGAAAGCCCAGGAGAUGAUGCCAGCCUUGAGCAUGAAGCUGAGAUGGACCUGGGAACCCCAACAUAUGAUGAAAAUCCCAUGAAGACCUCAAAAAAGCCUAAGACAGCAGAAGCAGACGCCUCCAGUGAACUGGCUAAGAAAAGCAAACAAGUAUUCAGAAAAGAGAUGUCCCAGUUCAUCGUCCAGUGCCUGAACCCUUACUGGAAACCU